Molecule: long non-coding RNA, 636 nt
Filed under: Brassica napus (rape)
Lineage: Eukaryota; Viridiplantae; Streptophyta; Magnoliopsida; Brassicales; Brassicaceae
Description: long non-coding RNA (BNAP_LNC014621)
Source: RNAcentral
GCUCUUUCGUGGUUAGGGGUUUCGUUGAGCUGGUGGUUAUGGUUGGAAACCACAUAGUCAUAGUUUUCGUGGAGAGAAAGGAUGGUUAGGGUAUGUGUUCAUAUGAUCAGAAUCGGGGUUAGUAUUCAUAUGGUCAGAGUUACAAUCAGUGUUCAUGUGGUCAUGAUUAUUGUUCAUGUGGUCAAAGUGUUUGUGUGUUCAGGGCUUUCUCAAAAACGGCGGGGAAAAAAUUGCAGUGGUGGUUCUGCAAGUGCGGCGGCGGCCGCAAGAAGAGUUGUGGCAAUGGCGAUGAAAGAAGUUGCGGUGAUGACGGUAAUCGUGCAAAGAAUUGAGAUGAUAGUGUUGUUUUGAUAAAUUCACGGAUCUGAGUUAGAUAAAAAAAAAGAAAAGGAGAAAAAGGAAAGAGGAGCCAAUCAAGAAAGAUGAAAAAUAAAAAAUGGAAAAUGGAAAAAGAAAGAAAAAAGGAAAAAAAAAUGAUAGAUUCUGUAAUUUGAAAAAGAGAUCUGAUGUUUGACGAAGGAGAUAUGUGGGAGAGAAGAAAUGCAAAGAAAAAACAAAAUAGAGAUGUGAAAGGCGAUUGAUUGAGUAACCAACUUUAACCCACGUUUCCAACCAACCAGUUAAAAUUAAAAGGGC